RNAcentral lists this long non-coding RNA (545 nucleotides) under Cyanistes caeruleus (blue tit). RNAcentral describes it as "lncRNA (ENSCCEG00000018973.1)". Lineage: Eukaryota; Metazoa; Chordata; Aves; Passeriformes; Paridae. The record is from RNAcentral.
CGCUCGGGUCCGGCUGUGGCGGCGGUGCCUGUGAGGAGCCGGCGUGGGAGCCCGGCCCGGGGCAGCUCGGAAGCCGCUGGAACCGCCGGCAGCGGACGGGCCGCGGAGGGGCCCGACAGGCUCCGUUCAGGCCAUGUGUGAUGAAGGAGAGAGGGCGGGUGUCCGGCGACGGUGCCUUGUUGUGGUGCCGUGCGCCUUGGUAACCCUGCCUGAGCUAGGAUUAGCUGUCCUGAGUCACUUAAUAAAAUGGAUGGCACAACACAAGCAGUAAGGAAGAGAUCUUUUCUUUGUAGGGUUACUCAGGAAUCUGCUAAUGAAGCCCAUCUCGUGCAGAUAGAAUUGUCUCACUCUUGCAAAAAAAGAUUCUUAAAUCUCUCCUUCUUUUACCUGGAUUCCAUGUCUCCUGAAAUCCAGCUUGAUGUUAGCUGACCUUCCUGGGUUGCCUUCUGGGUGAAUGUCAGUGGCUGGGAUGUUUUCUGUUGCUAUACCAACCUGGUUUCUGCACUAAAAAUAAAGACCUCAGGGUGGGGAAUGUGUCUUGUUUC